RNAcentral lists this ribosomal RNA (924 nucleotides) under uncultured bacterium. RNAcentral's name for it is "bacterial SSU rRNA". It matches the Rfam family "Bacterial small subunit ribosomal RNA", at positions 8 to 955 of the family's 1533-position model. The record is from RNAcentral.
AGAGUUUGAUCCUGGCUCAGGAUGAACGCUAGCGGGAGGCCUAAUACAUGCAAGUCGAGCGGUAACUUUCUUCGGGAAGCUAGAGCGGCGCACGGGUGAGUAACGCGUACAUGACCUGCCUUUAAGACCGGGAUAGCCCUGGGAAACUGGGAUUAAUACCGGAUGUGAUAAUAGAUAUAAAGAUUUAUUAUUAAAGUUACGGCGCUUAGAGAUGGAUGUGCGUCUGAUUAGCUAGUUGGUAGGGUAACGGCCUACCAAGGCUACGAUCAGUAGGGGGCGUGAGAGCGUGCCCCCCCACACGGGUACUGAGACACGGACCCGACUCCUACGGGAGGCAGCAGUAAGGAAUAUUGGUCAAUGGACGAAAGUCUGAACCACCCAUCCCGCGUGCAGGAUGAAGGUCCUAUGGAUUGUAAACUGCUUUUAGCAAAAAAAAAAAGCAUCCUUUUAAGGGUGUCUGACGGUAUCUGCGGAAUAAGCACCGGCUAACUCCGUGCCAGCAGCCGCGGUAAUAACGGAGGGUGCAAGCGUUAUCCGGAAUCACUGGGUUUAAAGGGUGCGUAGGCGGAAUAUUAAGUCAGUGGUGAAAGCCUGUCGCUUAACGAUAGAACUGCCAUUGAUACUGAUAUUCUUGAAUUGGGGUUGAGGUUAGCGGAAUGUGACAUGGUAGCGGUGAAAUGCAUAGAUAUGUCAUGGAACACCAAUUGCGACGCAGCUAGCUGGGUCUUUGAUUGACGCUGAGCACGAAGCGUGGUAGCGACAGGAUUAGAUACCCUGUUAGUCACGCCUAACGAUGCUACCUCGAUGUAGAACUGAGGUUCGAGCAUCGAGCAACGAUAGUUAGCUAGCUGGAGAGUACGACCGCUAGGUGAUCUCAUGUACGACGGCUCGCUAUCGGAUGCGAACCAUGUGAUUUAAGGUCAG